GUGAAGCUUGGGUGGUGAUGCGGGUUAAUACAGAGGGGGGUAGUGUUAAACGGAGUUACUGAGCGUAAAGCGCGCGUAGGUGGGUAAUUAAGUCAAAUGGUAAAUCCCCGAGCUUGACUUGGGAGUUGCAUUCGAUACUGGUUGGCUAGAGUAUGGGAGAGGAUGGUAGAAUUCCAGGUGUAGCGGUGAAAUGCGUAGAGAUCUGGAGGAAUACCGAUGGCGAAGGCAGCCAUCUGGCCUAAUACUGACACUGAGGUGCGAAAGCAUGGGGAGCAAACAGGAUUAGAUACCCCGGUAGUC
Molecule: ribosomal RNA, 300 nt
Filed under: uncultured Thermosphaera sp.
Lineage: Archaea; Thermoproteati; Thermoproteota; Thermoprotei; Desulfurococcales; Desulfurococcaceae
Description: bacterial SSU rRNA
Rfam family: Bacterial small subunit ribosomal RNA
Source: RNAcentral